GCUGGGUGUGAUGGCACACACCUGUAAUCCCAGCUACUCGGGAGGCUGAGGCAGGAGAAUUGUUCCAACCCAGGAGGCCGAGGUUGCAGUGAGCCAAGAUCGCACCACUGCACUCUAGCCUGGGUGACAGAGCGAGACUCUGUCUCAA
Unclassified non-coding RNA from Macaca fascicularis (crab-eating macaque), 148 nucleotides. It matches the Rfam family "Metazoan signal recognition particle RNA". From Rfam's summary of the family: The signal recognition particle (SRP) is a universally conserved ribonucleoprotein. It is involved in the co-translational targeting of proteins to membranes. NCBI's taxonomy places the organism in Eukaryota, Metazoa, Chordata, Mammalia, Primates, Cercopithecidae. The record is from Ensembl.